GGGCUCGUAGGGUAGUGGAUAUCCUAAUGGGCUUCGGACCCAUUGACUCGUGUUCGAAUCGCGGCGGGCCCG
RNAcentral lists this transfer RNA (72 nucleotides) under Methanosalsum natronophilum. RNAcentral's name for it is "tRNA-Arg". It matches the Rfam family "tRNA". From Rfam's summary of the family: Transfer RNA (tRNA) molecules are approximately 80 nucleotides in length. Lineage: Archaea; Methanobacteriati; Methanobacteriota; Methanomicrobia; Methanosarcinales; Methanosarcinaceae. The record is from RNAcentral.